This 436-nucleotide ribosomal RNA is filed under the name uncultured eukaryote. Its description in RNAcentral is "SSU rRNA". It matches the Rfam family "Eukaryotic small subunit ribosomal RNA", at positions 1214 to 1675 of the family's 1831-position model. The record is from RNAcentral.
CUCAUCAGGGCAAGAAGAUUUUAGGAUUGACAGAUUGAGAGUUCUUUCUUGAUUGGUCUAGUGGUGGUGCAUGGCCGUUCUUAGUUGGUGGAGUGAUUUGUCUGGUUAAUUCCGUUAACGAACGAGACCUUAACCUGCUAACUAGUACUUGAUUUUCAAUCGGAGUUACUUCUUAGAGGGACUAUGUGAUGUAAUCACAUGGAAGUUUGAGGCAAUAACAGGUCUGUGAUGCCCUUAGAUGUCCUGAGCUGCACGCGCGCUACAAUGACACAUUCAACGAGUAUUUCCUGACCCGAAAGGGCUCGGGUAAUCUUUUAGUGUGUGUCGUGAUAGGGAUAGAUCUUUGUAAUUAUGGAUCUUGAACGAGGAAUUCCUAGUAAGCGCAUGUCAUCAGCAUGUGCUGAUUACGUCCCUGCAAAAAUGUACACACCGCCCG